Molecule: non-coding RNA, 3053 nt
Organism: Cricetulus griseus (Chinese hamster)
Lineage: Eukaryota; Metazoa; Chordata; Mammalia; Rodentia; Cricetidae
Source: RefSeq, a predicted model, not a curated record
CUAAAGGGGGAAUUGUAGGAAGAUACCGUAACCACACCUCCUAAGGGCUGGCUACAGGUGUGGUCAAGGUGAGGUCAGAGUGACGCGGCAUGGGCUCUUAAGGGACCACGAGCACAUGGAACACCGCUUCCCCUUCGGCUGGCCCUUCUCUCUGACCUCCCUGCCUUGCUGCCCCUGGGCAUGCUCUGGCUUGCGUUUGGCUGGUAUUUAUCUGAAUAAAGGUAUCUUGAAUCUACAAGUGUUUCCCUUCAAAGAAGAGCUUGAGUAUGUGUGUUCAGAAGUGACUACCAUGAGGGUGGAGAGCAACCACCUAUCCAGCAAAACCAAAGCCUUGGCCUAGACAGGAAUACAGAAGAGGGACCACAGCAACCUUCAUGGAGGGAUCGCUUGAAAUGUUUUCCUUCCUUGGUGGCUGGCAGCUAGGUGCUCCCUAUGGGACGCAGUUCACACAUUGACAUCACCCUCCCAAAGCACUGAGCCAAUUCCAUCUGAUCACAGCCUUCAACAGUGAGGAAAUUCAUCCGCCUCCCACACCACUGCCAACUGUAGGUUCAUCUUUAUCUUCACCACUCCUUAGAUGGAAGAAAAACACUUCCUACCAUGCUUGCUGAGAAGCACAAUGAUCAAUCAUCCAUCUCAUUUUCAGUGUGCACAUAUGGGACACAAGUGCUAUGUGAUGAACUGGAAAGGAGAUUUGUAGCCAGAGACUGAAUGCAUAGACUUCUACCUCCUCUGCCUACAGCAGUCCAACAGGCAAGUCAAAGAUGGGGACAUGGACCACUGGACUGCAAGGAGGGUUAAGAGAGAUGAAUAACUGCUUCUGCAAGACUGAGGAUGACAGAGGCUAUGUGGAAACAGCCCAAUGCUGUCCCAUUUUUUUAAUUUUUUUCCUUAGUUUAGAACUGUCACCUUUCAAACUUAAAGAUGCACAUUAAUAGUCAGGCUCUUGGGUCACUCAGGGGAUUUUAGAACAAAAAGGGCCAUAUGCUGAAACCAGAGUCGAGUUCCUAGAAAACAUUAGAGGAACCAAAGACCAGUAUGCUCUCCCCAAACUUCUUAUGUCUCCUUACACUGAGUGCAUGACUGAAAGAGAAGAGUUUCUGGAAAUAUCUCAGGACACAUUUGGACAUUGUGGAUUGGAUCCCAUGGGAGUUAACAAUGAACCUACUGCCCUAAGAUGCCGCAGUGUGUUCACUUUGUGCUUAGGAUGGAGAAUAUCAGCUUCAACAGCUCCAAAAUGGAUACAUGCAAAACAGUUGGAGAAGCAAGGGUUUCCUGCUACAGCAAUGAGAGCUUUGGUGUCCCGUUGAUUAUGGAAAGGCUCUGAUCAUGACAGGCCUCAGAUGUCUGUACUUCCUUGGUUUUCACCAUUGAUGAUGCAGUCUGUCAAUGGCAACUCUCCACUUGUUUUCUGCCAUGUACUGGAUUGAGCCAUUCUGCUGACGAACAACUCCAGCUGCUUUUAAGGAAAACAUCAUCCCAUUUUAUUCUUACACAACACAUAAUUAACAUUCUAGGACAUGAACUUGUGUGAGCCAUAGCCUCACCAGUGUUGACUGAGUUCCUUCCAUGUACUAGGCAGACGCUGGACAUUGGAAAAAUAAGUCCUUGUUCUUUGUGAAUCCCAGUCAGAGUAGGUGUCAAGGAAAUAAAUUAAGCAUUUAACCAUAUGAGAGGACAUCUGUGUACAACAAAACAGUCUGAUAAUCCUGGUGUGGGUGUCGGCAUCUCCACCUGGGAGACAGAGAAAAAGACAUUUGAACAAAACUUUGUAAUAGUGAAUGAUAAGAAUAUAAUACUCUCUCUAGAAUUCUCCAUGUAUAGAACCCAGUAUCAGGUUACUAAAGGUAAAGCAUUUUCAUUUUCGUUGUUAGUGUUUAGUUUGUUUUCUUCUUAUCUUUCCUUUUUAGUUUGCUUGUUUUGACUUCAUUUUUCUGAGUAACACCUAAGAAAGCUGUAAAUUAUUUCUUAGUCAGUCUUACCUUGCCCUUGAGUUUAGUUGAGGUCAAGUUAAAAACAUUUCUCAUCUCAUUCUCUAGCUACUAAAGUUAAAAAAAAUGAGAUCUUAUAAAGUGGCAAACUGAUAUUUAAUAAAAAGCCUAAUGCAUAAAACUGCUGAAGUGUUUGAAAAAUACAAAGGGUUUAUGGUAAUAUGUAUCAAAUCACAUCCAGGAUGGAAGUCUUGAAAUGUUAAUAGAAUUGACUACAAAUCCAUAAGAAAUUAACCUUAAGUUUAUAGACAUGGAAAUGAUAAUUGGGUUGAAUCAGCAAAUAUUUAUUUGAGGGUCUCACUAUGCAGCUCUAACUAGCCUGGAACUCACUGUGUAGACCAAGCAGAUUUCAGAAUCAAGAGAGCCCCACCAACAUGCUGAUAUUAAAUGAGUGUGACACAUGCCCAGUUAAAAUCAGGAGAUUUUUGAAACCAGUAUAUUUCAGGUUAUUGGACUGACAUAUACACACUGUCCAUGGAUUAUGGUCAUUUGGUGACUAUGCCAGAGAGCCUGUUUAGGUUUUGAGACCUUAACUGUGAUACUUCCUAGAGGAUAAACUUUGGGUAAAAAUUAUGAGAAAUUAUGUAAUAUGACAAACCAAUCCUCAACUGUAUCUGAACCUACAAAACUUUGAGAAACUAUCUCAUAUGCCUUAGGAUUUAUCAUGCCACAUGACUUUGAAAUAAAUGUCAUUGAUCAUUUAGGUUUAUAUGUGAAAAACUGAUAAAAGAAAAUUAAAUCAAAUGCUUUUAGCAGAAACUAAACGUAUUCUGUCACUGAUGUUUCCAUUGUCAGCCUGUGUAUUGUAGAUCACCCCAAGGAGUUCUGUUCUGAAAUGGUGCCUAAAUUGUAUUAUGAUUCAGGUAAUUCUAGAAAAACAUUUUCCAGAAGCAAAACCAGAAUCACAGGAAUUUCAGAAUUGUUACAGAUAAACCUCACGUUAAACUACAUCUAUCUUAAAAUCAAGAGAAAGAGAUUGUUGGUCAGCCAUCCUCAUAGAGCUAAAACUGGCUGACUUGAUGGGUUCUUUUGUUGGCAACUUAGUGAGAGAAAGCUGCUUAU